UGGUCACGGCAGUCACGGCGGCGGCUACAGCAGCUCCAGCGCCGGUGCGAGUGCAACCGCUAACGCCGCAGCCGGCGGAUACGGCAGUCACAAGGGCGGUUACGGUCGUUAAACUGAAGUUACCAAAAUCCAGCGCUGGCUCACCAUCUGCAGCGUGGUUCGACAAUUCUGAAUGUGAUAAUACCCAGUAUAUUUGUUAAACAUAAUUAUGUAUGUAAAAAUAACAUAUUAAAAUAGUUAAAAAAAUCAUUCUAUUAUUA
Molecule: long non-coding RNA, 260 nt
Organism: Papilio xuthus (Asian swallowtail)
Lineage: Eukaryota; Metazoa; Arthropoda; Insecta; Lepidoptera; Papilionidae
Exons: 2
Source: RefSeq, a predicted model, not a curated record